CGCUUUUNGCUCACAUAAUAUAAAAGGUCAUGCCUGCCCAGUGAUAUUAACAUUUAACGGCCGCAAAAUUAACCGCGCAAAGGUAGCGCAAUAAAUUGUCUUUUAAAUGAAGACCGUACGAAUGGCAAAACGAGGGUUUAUCUGUCUCACUCUCUCCGUUAAUAAAAUUGAUCUUCCCGUACAAAAGCAAGAAUUGUUUUAUAAGACAAAAAGACCCUAUGGAGCUUUAGAAUCUGAAAUAGAACCAUUAAACUUAGCAAAUAAAUAAUUAUNNNNAAUCCCUAUUUCUUUUAUUUCUUUGGUUGGGGCGACCACGGAGAAAAAUAAAACCUCCACAAAGAUCACUAAAANNNUUUAUAAAAUAAGAAUAACAUUUCUCACUCAAAACAUAUGCUUAAAGAUGACCCGAAAACAUGUUCGAUCAACGAAACAAGCUACCCUGGGAUAACAGCGCAAUCCCCUUUUAGAGUCCGCAUCAACAAGGGGGUUUACGACCUCGAUGUUNGAUCAGGACAUCCCAAUGGCGUAAUCGCUAUUAAAGGUUCGUUUGUUCAACGAUUAAAGUCCUACC
Molecule: ribosomal RNA, 571 nt
Filed under: Pterolebias longipinnis
Lineage: Eukaryota; Metazoa; Chordata; Actinopteri; Cyprinodontiformes; Rivulidae
Description: partial 16S ribosomal RNA
Rfam family: Bacterial large subunit ribosomal RNA
Source: RNAcentral